GCUGAAACUCGCCUACAUGAAGCUGGAGUUACUAGUAAUCGCAGAUCAGAAUGCUGCGGUGAAUGCGUUCCCGGGUCUUGUACACACCGCCCGUCACACCACGGGAGUUGGAGACGCCCGAAGCCGAUUAUCUAACCUUUUGGAAGAAGUCGUCGAAGGUGGAAUCAAUAACUGGGGUGAAGUCGUAACAAGGUAGCCGUAUCGGAAGGUGCGGCUGGAUC
RNAcentral lists this ribosomal RNA (221 nucleotides) under Clostridioides difficile. RNAcentral describes it as "partial 16S ribosomal RNA". It matches the Rfam family "Bacterial small subunit ribosomal RNA", at positions 1304 to 1524 of the family's 1533-position model. The record is from RNAcentral. Lineage: Bacteria; Bacillati; Bacillota; Clostridia; Peptostreptococcales; Peptostreptococcaceae.